RNAcentral lists this ribosomal RNA (379 nucleotides) under Odorrana sp. n. SL-2018. RNAcentral describes it as "partial 12S ribosomal RNA". It matches the Rfam family "Bacterial small subunit ribosomal RNA", at positions 772 to 1357 of the family's 1533-position model. Lineage: Eukaryota; Metazoa; Chordata; Amphibia; Anura; Ranidae. The record is from RNAcentral.
CUGGGAUUAGAUACCCCACUAUGCCCAACCGUAAACAAUUAACUCACACCUAUAAGCGCCAGGGAACUACGAGCCAUGCUUAAAACCCAAAGGAUUUGACGGUGUUCCACCCAGCUAGAGGAGCCUGUUCUAUAAUCGAUGAUCCCCGAUACACCCGACCACCCCUAGCUUAUCAGUCUGUAUACCUCCGUCGAAAGCUUACCAUGUGAACGUCUACAGUAGGCCCAAGGACCCGCAUUAGCGCGUCAAUACGUCAGGUCAAGGUGCAACUUAAGGAGUGGAAAGUGAUUGGCUACAAUUUCUAACCUAGAACAAACGAAAGACUGCGUGAAAUCACAGUCACGAAGGCGGAUUUAGUAGUAAGAAGAAAAUAGAGAGU